UUGGAGAUUCCAUCGUCCGGCAUGUCCGCGCUAUCGGAGACAAAGGUAAGGUGCACACUCGCUGUUUUCCUGGUGCUCGUGUUCUCGAUGUCGCUGCGCAGGUACCCGCGAUCCUGAACAAGAACUUUGCAGCGGUUGUUCUCCAUGCUGGAACGAACGACACCCGGCUGAGGCAAACGGAGAUCUUAAGGAGGGAUUUCAGGAUCCUGGUGGAGACGGUAAGCAGCACAUCACCCACAACGAGGAUCAUAGUGUCAGGACCUCUUCCCACUUCCCAUCUGACUGGGUGCUGAUCCAGCAGUCUGUGGACCUCAGAGGACUCCAGAAACCUAUAGAUCUGCCACAGAACGGCUGGAAAGAGAAGACGUGUCAGACGUACAGGGGAUAAAGUUCAGAUAUUGCUGAAUCACAGCUGCUUAAGAACAUAGGGGAUGUGAUAGCAGGAGUGCUUCCGGACCUUCCUGAUCAACUUGAUAAGUCCGUUGAAGAUACUUUAAAAACACUUGGUGCAGCAACCACAGAUGAUUUAAAGAACAUCACAGAAAACGAUUUGCUGCCAGUGUUAAAGCCCAUACAAGCACGAAGACUGGUUGCUGCCUGGACCCAAAAUAUCUCCGGGACUUCAACACCAAAAUCUGUGCAUUCAUCUCCAGUGGUUGUCUUUCCCUCUGCACCCACAAAUUCUUCUUCACCAGCAUCAUCCACCUCUACAUCAUCUUCAGGAAUCUGUACACCAUUAAUACCAAACUGCUUAGAGCGAUUUGAAAUCCCAUGGCAGAGG
Molecule: long non-coding RNA, 781 nt
Organism: Silurus meridionalis
Lineage: Eukaryota; Metazoa; Chordata; Actinopteri; Siluriformes; Siluridae
Exons: 4
Source: RefSeq, a predicted model, not a curated record